RNAcentral lists this long non-coding RNA (261 nucleotides) under Salvia miltiorrhiza (redroot sage). RNAcentral describes it as "long non-coding RNA (SMIL_LNC011689)". The record is from RNAcentral. Lineage: Eukaryota; Viridiplantae; Streptophyta; Magnoliopsida; Lamiales; Lamiaceae.
UCGUUCACGAACAGGCUUGGUCUUGGCUAUUAGCUCCACCUGUUCCACUCUCGCAUGUUCGCCCUUCAUAUCUCUCACGUUCUCAACUGACGUAUCAUCCCUAUCGGCCAUGAAAAAUCAUGGCAGUGAAGAUGAGAGCACGAGAAAAUUUAUGGGUGCAGUGGGUAUCGAGACAGAGAAAAAUAGAAAGCAUCAACAUUUACAAACACAAAAACUGUGUGUAAAAAGGCACCAGAAUUCUCAAAAUCCAUAUGACAUCUG